RNAcentral lists this transfer RNA (75 nucleotides) under Paradesulfitobacterium aromaticivorans. RNAcentral's name for it is "tRNA-Met". It matches the Rfam family "tRNA". Rfam says of the family: Transfer RNA (tRNA) molecules are approximately 80 nucleotides in length. Their secondary structure includes four short double-helical elements and three loops (D, anti-codon, and T loops). RNAcentral also lists the same sequence under 5 other names. Lineage: Bacteria; Bacillati; Bacillota; Clostridia; Eubacteriales; Peptococcaceae. The record is from RNAcentral.
GGGCCUAUAGCUCAGCGGUAGAGCAGCCGGCUCAUAACCGGUCGGUCCCUGGUUCGAUCCCAGGUGGGCCCACCA